AGCGGCGGACGGGUGAGUAAUGCUUGGGAAUAUGCCUUAUGGUGGGGGACAACAGUUGGAAACGACUGCUAAUACCGCAUAAUGUCUACGGACCAAAGUGGGGGACCUUCGGGCCUCACGCCAUAAGAUUAGCCCAAGUGGGAUUAGCUAGUUGGUGAGGUAAUGGCUCACCAAGGCGACGAUCCCUAGCUGGUUUGAGAGGAUGAUCAGCCACACUGGGACUGAGACACGGCCCAGACUCCUACGGGAGGCAGCAGUGGGGAAUAUUGCACAAUGGGCGCAAGCCUGAUGCAGCCAUGCCGCGUGUGUGAAGAAGGCCUUCGGGUUGUAAAGCACUUUCAGUAAGGAGGAAAGGUUAAGUGUUAAUAGCGCUUAGCUGUGACGUUACUUACAGAAGAAGCACCGGCUAACUCCGUGCCAGCAGCCGCGGUAAUACGGAGGGUGCGAGCGU
RNAcentral lists this ribosomal RNA (451 nucleotides) under uncultured bacterium. RNAcentral describes it as "bacterial SSU rRNA". It matches the Rfam family "Bacterial small subunit ribosomal RNA", at positions 94 to 541 of the family's 1533-position model. The record is from RNAcentral.